Molecule: ribosomal RNA, 415 nt
Filed under: uncultured archaeon
Lineage: Archaea
Description: bacterial SSU rRNA
Rfam family: Bacterial small subunit ribosomal RNA
Source: RNAcentral
CAGCCGCCGCGGUAAUACGGAGGGUGCAAGCGUUAUCCGGAUUCACUGGGUUUAAAGGGUGCGUAGGCGGGUAGGUAAGUCAGUGGUGAAAUCCUGGAGCUCAACUCCAGAACUGCCAUUGAUACUAUCUGUCUUGAAUAUUGUGGAGGUAAGCGGAAUAUGUCAUGUAGCGGUGAAAUGCUUAGAUAUGACAUAGAACACCCAUUGCGAAGGCAGCUUACUACGCAUAUAUUGACGCUGAGGCACGAAAGCGUGGGGAUCAAACAGGAUUAGAUACCCUGGUAGUCCACGCCCUAAACGAUGGAUACUCGACAUACGCGAUACACUGUGUGUGUCUGAGCGAAAGCAUUAAGUAUCCCACCUGGGAAGUACGUUCGCAAGAAUGAAACUCAAAGGAAUUGGCGGGGGAGCACAC